GAUGAACGCUGGCGGCGUGCUUAACACAUGCAAGUCGAACGAGAAGUGAAGACGGAAACCUUCGGGCGGAAGGCUUUAUUUCGAGUGGCGGACGGGUGAGUAACGCGUGGGUAACCUGCCUCAUACAGGGGGAUAACAGUUGGAAACGACCGUUAAUACCGCAUAAGACAACAGCACCGCAUGGUGCGGGGGUAAAAACUCCGGUGGUAUGAGAUGGACCCGCGUUCGAUUAGCCAGUUGGCGGGGUAACGGCCCACCAAAGCGACGAUCGAUAGCCGAUCUGAGAGGAAGACCGGCGACAUUGAGACUGAGACACAGCCCAAACUCCUACGGGAGGGAGCAGUGGGGAAUAUUGCAAAAUGGGGGAAACGCUGAUGCAGCGACGCCGGGUGAGUGAAGAAGUAUUUCGGUAUGGAAAGCUCUAUCAGCAGGGAAGAAAAUGACGGUACCUGAGGAAGAAGCCCCGGCUAACUACGUG
Molecule: ribosomal RNA, 478 nt
Filed under: uncultured bacterium
Lineage: Bacteria
Description: partial 16S ribosomal RNA
Rfam family: Bacterial small subunit ribosomal RNA
Source: RNAcentral